AACCAGCACCUCAAGUGGUCAGGAUGAUUAUUGGGCCUAAAGCAUCCGUAGCCUGUUCUGUAAGUUUUCGGUUAAAUCUAUGCGCUCAACGUAUAGGCUGCCGAAAAUACUGCAGAACUAGGGAGUGGGAGAGGUAGACGGUACUCGGUAGGAAGGGGUAAAAUCCUUUGAUCUAUUGAUGACCACCUGUGGCGAAGGCGGCCACCUGGACUGAUACUGACACUGAGGUGCGAAAGCGUGGGGAGCAAACAGG
RNAcentral lists this ribosomal RNA (253 nucleotides) under uncultured archaeon. Its description in RNAcentral is "partial 16S ribosomal RNA". It matches the Rfam family "Archaeal small subunit ribosomal RNA", at positions 474 to 727 of the family's 1478-position model. The record is from RNAcentral.